Molecule: transfer RNA, 75 nt
Filed under: bacterium
Lineage: Bacteria
Description: tRNA-Thr
Rfam family: tRNA
About the family: Transfer RNA (tRNA) molecules are approximately 80 nucleotides in length. Their secondary structure includes four short double-helical elements and three loops (D, anti-codon, and T loops). Further hydrogen bonds mediate the characteristic L-shaped molecular structure. tRNAs have two regions of fundamental functional importance: the anti-codon, which is responsible for specific mRNA codon recognition, and the 3' end, to which the tRNAs corresponding amino acid is attached (by aminoacyl-tRNA synthetases). tRNAs cope with the degeneracy of the genetic code in two manners: having more than one tRNA (with a specific anti-codon) for a particular amino acid; and 'wobble' base-pairing, i.e. permitting non-standard base-pairing at the 3rd anti-codon position.
Source: RNAcentral
GCCGGUGUAGCUCAGGGGUAGAGCGGCUGUUUUGUAAACAGCGGGUCGCGGGUUCGAAUCCUGUCACCGGCUCCA